UACGUAGGGGGCGAGCGUUGUCCGGAUUUAUUGGGCGUAAAGAGCUCGUAGGCGGUUUGGUAAGUUGGAUGUGAAAUCUCCAGGCUCAACUUGGAGGGGUCAUUCGAUACUGCCAUGACUAGAGUUCGGUAGGGGAGUGUGGAAUUCCUGGUGGAGCGGUGAAAUGCGCAGAUAUCAGGAGGAACACCGGUGGCGAAGGCGGCAUCCUGGACCGGUAUUGACGCUGAGGCGCGAAAGCCAGGGGAGCAAACGGG
This 254-nucleotide ribosomal RNA is filed under the name uncultured bacterium. RNAcentral describes it as "partial 16S ribosomal RNA". It matches the Rfam family "Bacterial small subunit ribosomal RNA", at positions 524 to 776 of the family's 1533-position model. The record is from RNAcentral.